This 526-nucleotide ribosomal RNA is filed under the name uncultured bacterium. RNAcentral describes it as "bacterial SSU rRNA". It matches the Rfam family "Bacterial small subunit ribosomal RNA", at positions 984 to 1509 of the family's 1533-position model. The record is from RNAcentral.
ACAUCCAGAGAAUUUAGCAGAGAUGCUUUAGUGCCUUCGGGAACUCUGAGACAGGUGCUGCAUGGCUGUCGUCAGCUCGUGUUGUGAAAUGUUGGGUUAAGUCCCGCAACGAGCGCAACCCUUAUCCUUUGUUGCCAGCACGUAAUGGUGGGAACUCAAAGGAGACUGCCGGUGAUAAACCGGAGGAAGGUGGGGAUGACGUCGAGUCAUCAUGGCCCUUACGAGUAGGGCUACACACGUGCUACAAUGGCGCAUACAAAGAGAAGCGACCUCGCGAGAGCAAGCGGACCUCAUAAAGUGCGUCGUAGUCCGGAUUGGAGUCUGCAACUCGACUCCAUGAAGUCGGAAUCGCUAGUAAUCGUAAAUCAGAAUGUUACGGUGAAUACGUUCCCGGGCCUUGUACACACCGCCCGUCACACCAUGGGAGUGGGUUGCAAAAGAAGUAGAUAGCUUAACCUUCGGGAGGGCGUUUACCACUUUGUGAUUCAUGACUGGGGUGAAGUCGUAACAAGGUAAGCGUAGUGCU